RNAcentral lists this transfer RNA (539 nucleotides) under uncultured cyanobacterium. RNAcentral describes it as "partial contains 16S ribosomal RNA, 16S-23S ribosomal RNA intergenic spacer, and 23S ribosomal RNA". The stretch from base 210 to 282 matches the Rfam family "tRNA". The record is from RNAcentral. Lineage: Bacteria; Bacillati; Cyanobacteriota.
CAGGGAGACAACAAAAUGUUAAAUAUUAAUUUUGUCACCUUAGGUCGAUCGGUACCUCACAUUCUUAUUUUUUAAGGAUUUUAUUUCCUAAGUUUUUUCUAGGUCACACCCAUUAUUUUUCCUGGGCCAUUAGCUCAGGUGGUUAGAGCGCACCCCUGAUAAGGGUGAGGUCCCUGGUUCAAGUCCAGGAUGGCCCAUAUCUCUAUGUUGGGGGUAUAGCUCAGUUGGUAGAGCGCCUGCUUUGCAAGCAGGAUGUCAGCGGUUCGAGCCCGCUUACCUCCACUGAUUACCACCUCUUCCAUAAUUUGAAGAAAGGAAAUGUUUUGAGUUGUGAUCAAAUUCUGAACGAUUCUAGCUUCCUAAUGAAAUCAUUAAGAUGCUGGACUCAUUGAAUUAAUUUCAUUGAUUUCAGAGAACCUUGACAACUGCAUAGAUUAUUUUUAAAGACAAUAAGCAUCUUUAAUGAUGCAGAUUUAUUAUUUGUGCAAAUGCAUUAAUAACAAUUCUAUUAAGCUGAUGCUUCAAUUUUUGAAGUUAUU